AGCGAACGCUGGCGGCAGGCCUAACACAUGCAAGUCGAACGAACUCUUCGGAGUUAGUGGCGGACGGGUGAGUAACACGUGGGAACGUGCCUUUUGGUUCGGAAUAACUCAGUGAAACUUGUGCUAAUACCGAAUGUGCCCUUCGGGGGAAAGAUUUAUCGCCAUUAGAGCGGCCCGCGUCUGAUUCGCUAGUUGGUGAGGUAACGGCUCACCAAGGCGACGAUCAGUAGCUGGUCUGAGAGGAUGACCAGCCACACUGGGACUGAGACACGGCCCAGACUCCUAUGGGAGGCAGCAGUGGGGAAUCUUGCGCAAUGGGCGAAAGCCUGACGCAGCCAUGCCGCGUGAAUGAUGAAGGUCUUAGGAUUGUAAAAUUCUUUCACCGGAGACGAUAAUGACGGUACCCGGAGAAGAAGCCCCGGCUAACUUCGUG
RNAcentral lists this ribosomal RNA (433 nucleotides) under uncultured bacterium. RNAcentral describes it as "partial 16S ribosomal RNA". It matches the Rfam family "Bacterial small subunit ribosomal RNA", at positions 29 to 507 of the family's 1533-position model. The record is from RNAcentral.